Molecule: ribosomal RNA, 433 nt
Filed under: uncultured bacterium
Lineage: Bacteria
Description: partial 16S ribosomal RNA
Rfam family: Bacterial small subunit ribosomal RNA
Source: RNAcentral
GACGAACGCUGGCGGCAUGCCUAACACAUGCAAGUCGAACGAGACCUUCGGGUCUAGUGGCGCACGGGUGCGUAACGCGUGGGAACCUGCCCUUAGGUUCGGAAUAACUCCCCGAAAGGGGUGCUAAUACCGGAUAAUGUCUUCGGACCAAAGAUUUAUCGCCUUUGGAUGGGCCCGCGUUGGAUUAGCUAGUUGGUAGGGUAAAAGCCUACCAAGGCGACGAUCCAUAGCUGGUCUGAGAGGAUGAUCAGCCACACUGGGACUGAGACACGGCCCAGACUCCUACGGGAGGCAGCAGUGGGGAAUAUUGGACAAUGGGCGAAAGCCUGAUCCAGCAAUGCCGCGUGAGUGAUGAAGGCCUUAGGAUUGUAAAGCUCUUUUACCCGGGAUGAUAAUGACAGUACCGGGAGAAUAAGCUCCGGCUAACUCCGUG